CGCUGGCGGCGUGCCUAAUACAUGCAAGUCGAACGGUCUUUCUAUGGAAGCUUGCUUCCACUGAGAAGAUAGUGGCGAACGGGUGAGUAACACGUGGGUAACCUGCCCAUAAGAGGGGGAUAACAUCCGGAAACGGGUGCUAAUGCCGCAUAGUUUUCUUGAUCGCAUGAUUGAGAAAGGAAAGACGGCCUUUGUGCUGUCGCUUAUGGAUGGACCCGCGGCGUAUUAGUUAGUUGGUGAGGUAACGGCUCACCAAGACGAUGAUACGUAGCCGACCUGAGAGGGUGAUCGGCCACAUUGGGACUGAGACACGGCCCAAACUCCUACGGGAGGCAGCAGUAGGGAAUCUUCCGCAAUGGACGAAAGUCUGACGGAGCAACGCCGCGUGAGUGAAGAAAAGGGUUUUCGGAUCGUAAAACUCUGUUGUCAGAGAAGAACAAGUUGGAGAGUAACUGCUCCAGCCUUGACGGUAUCUGACCAGAAAGCCACGGCUAACUACGUGCCAGCCGCCGC
RNAcentral lists this ribosomal RNA (513 nucleotides) under uncultured bacterium. Its description in RNAcentral is "bacterial SSU rRNA". It matches the Rfam family "Bacterial small subunit ribosomal RNA", at positions 34 to 518 of the family's 1533-position model. The record is from RNAcentral.